GUGCAGCAGUCGAGAAUAGUCUACAAUGGACGAAAGUCUGAUAGUGCGACGCCGUGUGUGCGAUUAAUUCCUUCGGGAUGUAAAGCACUUUUCUAUGAGAUAAAAGCUCUUUAGGUUAAUAGCUUAUUGAGACGGAUAUUAUUAUAGGAAUAAGCUCCGGCUAACUCCGUGCCAGCAGCCGCGGUAAUACGGAAGGAGCGAGCGUUGUCCGGAUUUACUAGGCGUAAAGGGCUAGUAGGCGACUAAUUAAGUUAUAUGUUAAAUCCCACGGCUCAACUGUGGUCCUGCAUGUAAUACUGGUUAGAUAGAGUACUGUAGAGGAAGGCAGAAUUCCUGGAGUAGCGGUGGAAUGCGCAGGAUAAUCAGGAAGAAUACCAAAAGCGAAGGCAGCCUUCUGGGCAGUUACUGACGCUGAAUAGCGAAGGUGUGGGUAGCGAACAGGAUUAGAUACCCGUGUAGU
RNAcentral lists this ribosomal RNA (460 nucleotides) under uncultured microorganism. RNAcentral's name for it is "bacterial SSU rRNA". It matches the Rfam family "Bacterial small subunit ribosomal RNA", at positions 346 to 794 of the family's 1533-position model. The record is from RNAcentral.